Molecule: RNA transcript, 1800 nt
Organism: Ornithorhynchus anatinus (platypus)
Lineage: Eukaryota; Metazoa; Chordata; Mammalia; Monotremata; Ornithorhynchidae
Gene: RAB3IP
Gene name: RAB3A interacting protein
Exons: 12
Source: RefSeq, a predicted model, not a curated record
CUUCGGCCCUCCCCACCUCUUCCAUCCGGAACGGUUACGUACGAUGAGGCUUUUACUAUGGCUAAUGACCCCCUGGAAGGCUUCCAUGAAGUAAACCUAGCUUCACCGACAUCUCCGGAUCUCCUCGGAGUGUAUGAGUCAGGGACUCAGGAACCGACUACCUCACCAAGCGUCAUCUAUCGUCCACAUCCUUCAGCGGUGUGCUCCACGCCUAUUCAGGCGAAUGCGUUAAAUGUUUCGGACCUUCCCACCCAACCCGUUUAUUCCUCUCCCAGACACUUGAAUUCAGCGGAACCAUCCAGUGUCAGCAUCAGCGUUGCAGACGCUGUGCCUUGUUCUACCUCCGGAACCCCAUUCAAACCCUCGAAUACCAGGAAGGACAACAAUAAUGCAGAGAGGGAAUUCUUACAGGGGGCCACGGUGACGGAGAGUUCCGACAGCAGUGAUGAUAUCUUUGGGUUGAGUACCGAAAGCCUCUCUCGAUUACGGAGCCCAUCCGUUCUGGAAGUGAGAGAAAAGGGCUAUGAAAGGUUAAAAGAAGAACUCGCAAAAGCCCAGAGGGAGCUGAAAUUAAAAGAUGAAGAAUGUGAGAGGCUUUCUAAAGUGCGAGAUCAACUUGGACAGGAGUUGGAAGAACUCACAGCUAGUCUGUUUGAGGAAGCUCAUAAAAUGGUAAGAGAAGCCAACGUCAAGCAAGCAACUGCAGAAAAACAGCUAAAAGAAGCACAGGGGAAGAUCGACGUCCUCCAAGCCGAAGUCGCAGCUUUGAAGACCCUGGUUUUGUCGUCCUCUCCGACAUCACCAACUAAAGAGUUUCAGCCAGGUGGGAAGACAGCUUUUAAGAAGGGACACACGAGAAAUAAAAGUACAAGCAGUGCUAUGGGUGGUAGCCAUCAGGACCUCAGCGUGAUGCAGCCAAUCGUAAAAGAUUGCAGAGAGGCUGAUUUCUCUCUGUAUAAUGAAUUCAGAUCUUGGAAGGAUGAGCCAACCAUGGAUAGAACGUGCCCUUUCUUGGACAAAAUCUACCAGGAAGAUAUAGUUCCAUGUUUGACCUUCUCAAAAAGUGAGUUGGCGUCAGCUGUUCUCGAGGCUGUCGAAAACAACACCCUAAGCAUUGAACCAGUGGGCCUGCAACCUGUUCGGUUUGUGAAAGCUUCCGCAGUUGAAUGUGGAGGACCGAAGUUAACCAAGUGUUGGUCAAAAGUUAGCGGUGAAGAACAGAAAGCAAGGAAGCAGGAAGAAAUGUGCUCUCAGUGGUCAGAGUAAGUCUUGUAAACACAGAAUUAAAUUGGGAGACUCAAGCAACUACUAUUAUAUUUCUCCAUUUUGUAGAUUCAGGAUCACUUCGGUGUGCAACUUUUUUACGUACAUUCGCUAUAUCCAACAAGGUCUCUUGAAGCAGCAGGAUGUUGAUCAGAUGUUUUGGGAGGUCAUGCAGUUGAGAAAAGAGAUGUCGUUGGCAAAACUGGGAUAUUUCAAGGAAGAACUCUAAUUCUCUUCACUGGAAUAUGCAUGAACUUCACUGAAUAUACAUAGCUCUAAAAUGGCUGAAUUUUUUAUUGUCAAUAUUUAUUUUCAAAGAGUGGGUCCAAAAUCUUUUUCUCUUUCUGCAGAUUGCACCCGAAGUGCUGUGAUUACUUUAAACUGAUCUAUAUUCUCUGUGUGCCGAAAAACAGCAAGGAAAACAAUGGAAAGAAAAAAAACCCUUUAGUUGAACAAAAUCUGAUCAGGACUUGUAGGUGCCCUUGUGAUUGUAACUUACCUUUGCAAAAAAUCGAAAUAAAUCUUAGAUUGAAGAUA